This 1627-nucleotide long non-coding RNA is filed under the name Monodelphis domestica (gray short-tailed opossum). RNAcentral describes it as "lncRNA (ENSMODG00000049256.1)". Lineage: Eukaryota; Metazoa; Chordata; Mammalia; Didelphimorphia; Didelphidae. The record is from RNAcentral.
CUGGGAAAACCCUAAAUGAUGUCACAAAGAGUCCAACAUGACUAAAAGGACUCAGCAACAAUAGUCUUGUGGUUGUUUUUAUCUAGUCCUUGCUGUGGAGUAUCUGACAUUUCUAUUUUCUAGAAAGUCAUGAAUCCUCCAUUCUUUCAUCCUAAACCUCUUUUGUUUCCAUGGGGAGGCAAUGUUGCAUACAGGCAAGACUUAGAGUCUAUUCUAGAUUGAGUCUCACCCUAGGAUCAUAAUUCUAGAAGUAGAAAAAAGAAAGGGAAGCCCAGGGAAGUUAACUGACUCAUCCAAGCUCAUCCAAGGUAACACAGGUAAUGUCACUGAUAGUGACUCAGAAAACUUGGUUCCAGUUUUGUUCAAGACCUGGGAUAGAUUCCAGGUAAAUUAAAUUCAUCUAGGGCAGGUGGGAGGCUUGAAGCAGAACAAUGUGAGAUCACAAUAUUGUACAGCAGAAAGAAUGUUGGAUUAAAAUUCCAGGAAUCAAGUUCAAGUCUUAGAUCUGCCACACACUAUUUGUGUGACCUUGGGCAAGUCACUUCAAUUCCUUGGGCCACACUUUCCAUCAUUAAAAUGAAGGGCUUGGACUUGAUGACUUAUAAUAUCUCUUGUAGCUCUAAAUAGAUGAUCUAGGUAAGUAUCUCUCUUAUUUCCUGAGCCAUUAGAGCAAUCUUGAUUUGGUUCUAAAAUCCAUGUUAAAUACACCUCUCUUUAUCAAUGUCACUCUAUCAGAAUUGAAAAACAGUUGGGCAAAGUGAAAGAAAACUUCCUUUUCUCCAAGAAACACAAGCCCUUGCUGGCCAUCCAGGGAUGCAAGUGAGUUUGUUUAAAAUAGACUGUUGUUCUCUGUCCACAGGUGUCCAACCCUAAGGGGCAAAUUAGUGUCACCAUGGAAGAAAAAAGGCUAGGGCUUAAUUGGAGGGAUCCUGAGCCUCCUACCCUAUCUCUGAGAGAACAUCAAAUGAGAGAAAAGAAACAGGAUACAUCUCCAGGCAAAUGGAAGUCCUAGGAGGGAGCGUUAGUAAACACUGAACAUUCUGCACUAACUGCACUUAAUCUAAUUACUUUAAAGGUGAAUGGAACAUUCAAACUUCAUUUACAUAACAGCAGUCCUGAUGUUUGUACAUUGUGCAAUCAAUUAAAAUGAACAUAUGCAGGGGCUGAAAAUGAAACAUUGAUAAAACAGGAUUAAUCAAAAGCUUAUCAUGAGCAAUAUCACUCUUAAUCGGAUUGGAAGAACUCUGUAGGGCCAUUCCAAAACUGAUGAGUUGAAGGCUAUAUUUAAAUUGUUAAUCACUGAAUUAAUUGGUGCCAUUAAAUCUCCUAUGUUCUGACUACUGCUUUUCCCCCUGAGGUCAGAAUCUCCUUCCUUGUCAGGCCAUUUGUCCAUGACACAAAACAUCAUCAUCAUUCUUGUCUCUAUCACCAUGACCAUCAAACAUUUUUAAGUGCAUACUUGGAUACUUUGAUGGAGCUAUGAUCUCCUCAGGGUGGGUACUCUUGUCUGACUUUUGUCUUUAUUCUUCCAUAAAUCCAACACAAGGAAUUCACUGAAGACAAUGAGGGCUUUUUUCCUUCCUUUUCUGUUUCUCUUGGUGUUAUUUGGAUAUUCAUGGACCAUGUG